UUGUCAAAAAAGGACACGAUUUUGAAGCAAAAGAUUUAAUUUCUGAUCCUGGCUCAAUUUUUUUUGAAAAUUCUAAUCAAAGUUCCAAAAUAAUUUCCCGCCUCCUGCGAAGAAACUCCGCUAACCCCCUAACGCAUUCCUGGCCCGCCACUGUAGCUUAUUAUGAUGAUCGCCACCAUGUACAAGCUAGGUUCCUCCUUAGAUUAUGAUGAGGAUAACGAUUUCUAUUUUGAACACGGUUCACAUGAUAAACGCUUAUACCGUCUACCACAAACUGCAAGGAAAACAAUGAAAUGAAAAAUAAACAGAGAUUUGAAUUAAUUUUUACCUAUUAACGUUUUGAUUGAUUUCCAGUACAUCAUCCACCAAUCAUGAAAGGCGAGAAAGAUAGAAACCAAAAAAAUAAACUUACAUGACCGUCUAUCAUGUUUCCAAUUAGCGAUGGACGAGUUCGGUGCGGCAUGAUUUGGACAUGAUUCGGAACACGAUUCAAAUUGAUACCAUCCCUAAUAAACUGCAAGAAAAAUAAUGGAAUUGAGAAAUAAACAAAGAUUUGAUUUGAUUUGGACAUAUCGAUCUUUUGAUUGAUAUCUAGUACAUCAUCCAUCAAUCAUCAAAGAUAGAAAGAUAGAGACCAUAAAAAUAAACAUACAUGCCCGUCUAUCAUGUUUGGAAUUGGCGAUGGACGAGGUCGGGGCGGCAUGAUUUGGACAUAAUUCGGAUUAACACGGUUCACAUUGAUAUCAUCCAUUAUAAACUGCAGAAAAAUAAUGGAGUUGAGAAAUAAAUAGUGAUUUGAUAUAAUUUGGACAUAAAAAUCUUUUGAUUUAUUUCUACUACAUCAAUCCAUCAAUCAUCAAAGGUAGAAAGAUAGAGACCAAAAAAACAAACUUACAUUCUCGUCUACCAUGUUUGGAACUGGCGAUGGACGAGGUCGGGACGGUAUGAUUUGGUCAUGAUUCGGAACACGAUUCACAUUGAUUCUAUCUGUUAUACACUGCUAGAAAAACAAUGGAGUUGAUAAAUAAACAAAGAUUUGAUUAAUUUUAAAAAAUUUACCUUUUGAUGGAUGGUUUCGAAUUCCGUAUGUGCCGCAGUGAGAUCGUCAAUAAGCUGAUUAACAUCCAGUUCUUGAGAGCCUUCGUUAGCCAUAGGAGGUGGGAUUGGAUUGAAAGCACCAAUGUAAAGAAAGAGAGAUCGAGAAUUCCGACGAUAGCCGGAGAGUCGCCAAACAACAAAUUAAAGAAAGAAAGUGAUUACAAUAAAACUUGUUAUCCUUCUACUGAACUUCAUAUAACGUAUUUAUAGGGUUGCCAUGUUCUAGUCUUAGACCUCACAGACGACUAUGGGCCGCUAAUCCAGAUCUAUGUUAUUAGUGGUGAUAUAAUUACUAAAUUACGAGCCAUUAAUUUUCAAUUAUGGAAUUAGUGGAGGUGGAGGGCUUACCAAUAAUAAACGAAAACUAAAAGCGGAAUAUUGGAAAAAUGUGGGGAUCUUUAAGCAAAAUUCAUUCAUGAAGAAAUGUUGUAGAUCUUUGAAUAUAUAAGGGUUAAUCAGAAAUUUCCCAUAGUUAAUGAGGAAUCCUUGGUAGGCUUGAGGUAGUAACAAGGAUCGUAAAUGAAGAAAUAUCCAUGAUUCCGAUAAUAGAUAUUAAAUCUUUCAGCUGUGUUGAUAAAUGGAAAUCCAAAGGUAAUAAAGAAGAGGAAACAACGUCAAGAAGAGACGAAUGUGUGGAAAUAGAGAGAGAGAGAGAGUUCUCCAUAUGAUACCUCGAAGGUAAAAGAAACAAUCCAUGUCAAGGACUCUGAGUUUUGUCACAGAAGCUGUUUGAGCUACUAGGAUUUUAUUUUGCCCUGAUUUUGCUCUAAUAAUGGGUUUCAAUUUUGCCCUAAUUUUGCUCAAAUAUCGGGUUUUGAUUUUGCCCUAAUUUUUCAUUUUGGGUCUAGGUUCCUGUAAAUACGACUUUUAUCGACAUUUUCCCAAAAUCCACACUAUUAUUAUUACUCAUUCUAUUAAUUUGAUCGGACAUUAAGACAGUUUAAGCACUUCAGAUUGUAAUCUAUGAAAGAGAAUUUUUCAUAAGUGGCUAAACUGAAAAAACCAAGCAAAAUUAAAGGAUAAUGAUUGUUGUGUCAAAACUCAAAAGUUAUAAUGUCUGAAUUGAAGACUUGUUUUUUCAAAUUAUCAUGUACCAAACGUGCGAAUAUUUGAUUCUAAAUUUUUUAGUUCUACUGCACAGUUGGAACAAUGGCAUACCGGAAGAGGACUGCUAUAGUAUUUUUUUGGAGAUGGCAUUUUAGCUCAUGUGGUAAAUGUAAUUGUUUUAGAGCUAUUUUUCUUCUGGUAUACGCCGAUCUUAAACUGUGGUGGGAUCUCUGUCGUAGAUGACGUUUUCCGAGGCACAUAAAAGGGGACGUCGUAUUUGAAGUUUAUCUAUUAGUUGGUCACCGAUUAUCUGAAUAAAUAAUAUUCAUUCGAUUGGACUAAAUCCUCACAUGGUAUUAGCAUCACACCUAGAUUUUGUAUCCAUUUUUUAUAUUGCCCAAUUCAUAUUAAGCAUAUGUAGGACAGGAAAGAACACCAUGGUAAUCGAUUUCAAUGUCGUGAUGACACAUACGAUGUUUUUGAAUCAAUCAACAGAGUGUAUAGAAAUAUUGUCACAUUAAAUGCAAUCAUUUGGUAUACUGCAGUAAUUGUUUCUUUGGUGAUCGAGAUAACAAGUUUGAUGAACAGUGAGUUGGAAUUGAAAAGCUGUUUUUUUUAUUUGUUGACAGUUAAAUUUUGGUAGAGGAUUAAGAAUAACCUUCAAUGAUGGUUUAUAGAUUGAUUACUAAAUUAGCAUUAGCAAAUGAUGGGUGUUCCUGAUAACAUGCAGUCAGUAUUGAAAACCUGUUUUUUUCUUUGUUGGUAUUUAAAUUUUGGUAGAGGAUUAAGAAUAACCUUCAAUGAUGGUUUAUAGAUUGAUUACUAAAUUAGCAUUAGCAAAUGAUGGGUGUUCCUGAUAACAUGCAGUCAGUAUUGAAAACCUGUUUUUUUCUUUGUUGGUAUUUAAAUUUUGGUAGAGGAUUAAGAAUAACCUUCAAUGAUGGUUUAUAGAUUGAUUACUAAAUUAGCAUUAGCAAAUUAUGGGUUUUCCAGAUACGAUGGCUGUUGGAAUUGGACAAAUUUUAUCUUUAUUGGCAUUUAAAUCUUGCUAGAGAAUUAAAAAUAACCUCCAUGUUAGAUUUUGCAAUACUUAAUAUGUUAUAAACACUGCUAAUUAGGAUAUUAUUUUAUUCAUUCAUUUAUUUAGCUAAUAGUUUAAUACUUUGUUCAUUUAUUUAUGAUUAUAAAUUCUGAUUUCUGAGAUAGAGAAUUAUCAAUUUUUAUGUUAUGAAAUGAUAGUUUAAAUCAUUUGAUUAAUUUACAUUUUUUGAAAAAAUUCUAUUUCCAUUAGAUUAUAUAGAUAAAUUUAUUACAAGAAAUCUAAGAAAAUGAAUUGCAUCAGUUGUCAAAAAAGGACACGAUUUUGAAGCAAAAGAUUUAAUUUCUGAUCCUGUCUCAAUUUUUUUUGAAAAUUCUAAUCAAAGUUCCAAAAUAAUUUCCCGCCUCCUGCGAAGAAACUCCGCUAACCCCCUAACGCGUUCCUGGCCCGCCACUGUAGCUUAUUAUGAUUCGCCACCAUGUACAAGCUAGGUUCCUCCUUAGAUUAUGAUGAGGAUAACGAUUUCUAUUUUGAACACGGUUCACAUGAUAAACGCUUAUACUGUCUACCACAAACUGCAAGGAAAACAAU
RNAcentral lists this long non-coding RNA (3775 nucleotides) under Zostera marina. RNAcentral's name for it is "long non-coding RNA (ZMAR_LNC004931)". Lineage: Eukaryota; Viridiplantae; Streptophyta; Magnoliopsida; Alismatales; Zosteraceae. The record is from RNAcentral.